ACUGCUCAGUAACACGUAGCUAAUCUACCCUUAAGUCAAGGAUAACCUCGGGAAACUGAGGAUAAUACUUGAUAGGAGACAUACCCUGGAAAGAUUUGUCUUUUAAAUUCGAGCUUAAGGAUGAGGCUGCGGCGGAUUAGGCUGUUGGCGGGGUAAAGGCCCACCAAACCGAUGAUCCGUAAGGGCUCUUAGCGGAGAGGCCCUGAGAGGGAAUCUGAGACACUAUUCCCAGCCCUACGGGGUGCAGCAGGUAGGAAUCUUUUGCAAUGCGCGCAAGCGUGACAAAGCGAGCCAGAGUGCUUUUCAAUUGAAAAGCUUUUGCUAAAUCUAAAAAUUUUGGCGAAUAAGGACUGGGUAAGACUAGUGCCAGCCGCCGCGGUAAUCCUAGCGGUCCAAGUCGCAGCCAUCAUUAUUGGGUCUAAAACAUCCGUAGCUUGCUUAAUAAGUUCCUUGUGAAAUCUUAUCUCUUAAGGGUGAGGCGUGCAAGGAGUACUGCUAAGCUAGAGACUGGAAGACGUAAGAAGUAUGCUCAAAGUAGCGGUAAAAUGUGUUAAUCUUGAGCAGACUCACAACAGCGAAGGCAUCUUACGAGGACAGUUCUGACAGUAAAGGAUGAAGGCUAGGGGCGCGAAGUGGAUUAGAUACCCAUGUAGUCCUAGCAGUAAACACUGCGCACUAAACAUUAGUACCUCCUCGAGAGGUAUUGGUGCUGUAGAGAAGUCGAAGAGUGCGCUACCUGGGAAGUAUAGCCGCAAGGCCGAAACUUAAAGGAAUUGGCGGGGGAGCAC
RNAcentral lists this ribosomal RNA (788 nucleotides) under uncultured archaeon. RNAcentral describes it as "bacterial SSU rRNA". It matches the Rfam family "Archaeal small subunit ribosomal RNA", at positions 85 to 879 of the family's 1478-position model. The record is from RNAcentral.